CGAGAAAGCCCGCAAGGGUGAGUACAGCGGCGCACGGGUGCGUAACACGUGGGUAAUCUGCCCUGGAGCCCGGAAUAACUCCCCGAAAGGGGUGCUAAUGCCGGAUGAGACCACGGGAGCUUCGGCUCUCGCGGGAAAAGGUGGCCUCUGUAUACAAGCUAUCACUUCAGGAUGAGCCCGCGGCCCAUCAGCUAGUUGGCGGGGUAAAGGCCCACCAAGGCUACGACGGGUAGCUGGUCUGAGAGGACGAUCAGCCACACUGGAACUGAGACACGGUCCAGACUCCUACGGGAGGCAGCAGUGGGGAAUCUUGCGCAAUGGGCGAAAGCCUGACGCAGCAACGCCGCGUGUGUGAUGAAGGUCUUCGGAUCGUAAAGCACUGUCGCGAGGGACG
This 394-nucleotide ribosomal RNA is filed under the name uncultured Anaeromyxobacter sp. Its description in RNAcentral is "bacterial SSU rRNA". It matches the Rfam family "Bacterial small subunit ribosomal RNA", at positions 67 to 447 of the family's 1533-position model. Lineage: Bacteria; Pseudomonadati; Myxococcota; Myxococcia; Myxococcales; Anaeromyxobacteraceae. The record is from RNAcentral.